CCUUGUUAGACACCGGAAAAGAAGAUGAGUCCUAUUCUCUCUAUUCUUUUGUGGGCAAUUGUGAGCCCCAUCAUUCUUGGAGCUAACACGGUCAAGGACGUUAUUCAAGCCCCAGCAUCAACAUCUGUACAGGAGGGGGAAGCUGUGACUCUGAGCUGCAGGGGCAAGAGGGCAAGACAAGUUGGAGCAGAGUCCAUCGACCUUGAGAAUCCAGGAGGGAGAGA
Molecule: long non-coding RNA, 224 nt
Organism: Phascolarctos cinereus (koala)
Lineage: Eukaryota; Metazoa; Chordata; Mammalia; Diprotodontia; Phascolarctidae
Source: RefSeq, a predicted model, not a curated record